Molecule: long non-coding RNA, 1120 nt
Organism: Pan paniscus (pygmy chimpanzee)
Lineage: Eukaryota; Metazoa; Chordata; Mammalia; Primates; Hominidae
Source: Ensembl
AUGAGAGUAUUUUGUAUAAACUGUAAAGUGACUGUAGGAGCUUGUAGUUCUCAUGAGUAUCACUGCUCCUUUUUUCCACAGUUCACAGACUAUCAUCAGUGGAACAGUGCUGGUGUUGGUACUGGAGCAACCGACACCAAAAAGAAGAAAAUAAAUAAUGGCACUAACCCUGAGACAACCACUUCUGGGGGUUGCCAUUCACCUGAGGAUAAACAACAGAACCGAGCUCAGCUGAAAGAGGAAAAGAAGGCAAGCCACCAACAUCGGCAAGCCUUAAGGAGGCAGCUAGAGGCCCAGGAUCAUACCAUACGAAUCCUUAAGUGUCAGAAAACUGAACUGGAAACAGCGNNNNNNNNNNNNNNNNNNNNCUCAACCUCUCUCAUUCCAGAAGAUUCCAAGGAUCUGGCAGGCCGCCUGCAUCAUUCCUGGCACUUUGCAGGAGAGUUACAGCGGGCUCUCUCUGCUAUGUCCGCAGAGCACGAGAGGGCGGACAGGUACAUCAAGGAGUUAACAAAGGAGAGGGAAGCCCUGAGUCUGGAGCUGCACAGGAACAUCAUAACCCAUGAGGAGCUGAAGGAGAAAAAUGCCGAACUACAAGAAAAACUUCGACUGGUAGAAACUGAAAAGUCUGAGAUGCAGCUCCACAUCAAGGAGCUAAAAAGGAAACUGGAGACGGACAAAAUCCUGCUGCCACAGGUUCAAACCAACACUUUGCAGGAGAAGAUGUGGAGGCAGGAGGAGAAGCUACGGGAUCAGGAGAAGCUACGGAAGCACGAGGAGAAGAUGUGGAGACAGGAGCAGAGGCUGCGGGACCAGGAGAAGGAGCUGCGGGAGCAGGAGCAGCGGAUGCGAAAGCAGGAGCAGCAGAUGCGAAAGCAGGAGGAGCAGAUGCGAAAGCAGGAGCAGCAGAUGCGAAAGCAGGAGGAGCAGAUGCGAAAGCAGGAGCAGCAGAUGCGAAAGCAGGAGGAGCAGAUGGGGGGAGCAGGAGGAGCAGAUGCGGAAGCAGGAGAAGCAGAUGCUGAAGCAGAGAAGCAGAUGACUGAAGCAUAAGGAGCAGAUGGGGAAGCAGGAGGAGCAAAUGGCGGAGCAGGAGGAACAGAUGCAGAAGCAGGAGGAGCAG